AUUGAACGCUGGCGGCAGGCCUAACACAUGCGAGUCGAGCGGAUGAAGGGAGCUUGCUCCUGGAUUCAGCGGCGGACGGGUGAGUAAUGCCUAGGAAUCUGCCUGGUAGUGGGGGAUAACGUCCGGAAACGGGCGCUAAUACCGCAUACGUCCUGAGGGAGAAAGUGGGGGAUCUUCGGACCUCACGCUAUCAGAUGAGCCUAGGUCGGAUUAGCUAGUUGGUGGGGUAAAGGCCUACCAAGGCGACGAUCCGUAACUGGUCUGAGAGGAUGAUCAGUCACACUGGAACUGAGACACGGUCCAGACUCCUACGGGAGGCAGCAGUGGGGAAUAUUGGACAAUGGGCGAAAGCCUGAUCCAGCCAUGCCGCGUGUGUGAAGAGGGUCUUCGGAUUGUAAAGCACUUUAAGUUGGGAGGAAGGGCAGUAAGUUAAUACCUUGCUGUUUUGACGUUACCAACAGAAUAAGCACCGGCUAACUUCGUG
Molecule: ribosomal RNA, 484 nt
Filed under: uncultured bacterium
Lineage: Bacteria
Description: partial 16S ribosomal RNA
Rfam family: Bacterial small subunit ribosomal RNA
Source: RNAcentral